GACGAACGCUGGCGGCGUGCUUAACACAUGCAAGUCGAACGGAAAGGCCCCUUCGGGGGUACUCGAGUGGCGAACAGGUGAGUAACACGUGAGUAACCUGCCCUUGACUUCGGGAUAACUUCAGUAAACUGGGGCUAAUACCGGAUAGGAAUCCUUGCUGCAUGGUGGGGGUUGGAAAGCUUCGGCGGUUUUGGAUGGAGUCGCGGCUCAUCAGCUUGUUGGUGGGGUAGUGGCUUACCAAGGCUUUGACGGGUAGCCGGCCUGAGAGGGCGACCGGCCACAUUGAGACUGAGAGACGGCACAGACUCCGACGGGAGGCAGAAGUGGGGAAUAUUGCACAAUGGGCAGAAGCCUGAUGCAGAAACGCCGCGGGCGGGAUAGCGGUCUUCGGGUUAAAAAACGCUUUCAGCAGGAGCGAAGCUUGUGGUGACGGUACCUGCAGAAGAAGCACCGGCUAACUACGUG
This 465-nucleotide ribosomal RNA is filed under the name uncultured bacterium. RNAcentral's name for it is "partial 16S ribosomal RNA". It matches the Rfam family "Bacterial small subunit ribosomal RNA", at positions 28 to 507 of the family's 1533-position model. The record is from RNAcentral.